GAGGGGGGGGGAAAGCCUCAUGUGGCCAGCAACUUCUUUGCGAAGAGCCAGGCUAAGCAUGCUCAGCCAGGAGCGGGAACAAGAAGAUGGAUAACAGAAGAUAGCACUAAAGACAACAAAGAAUCAAUGCAUUAUCUCUCCAAAAAUUAAUUUCAAAUAAGAGCCAAAUGAUUAUAUUCUAAAUUUAGCUGUAAUUUUUAGAAUUGUUUUGCCAAAAAAGGUAGAAAGAACAUAUUCUCUGCCUUGUUUAAUUCCCUAAAUGCUUAUAAAGUGUCUACUAUCUAUAAAGAAAUAUUUUUACUUGUAGCACAUGCCAGAAAAUUUACUUCUAGGAAAUUGUUUGUUAAAAGCUGAUGAAUCCCAGAAAACAAGCUCAGCCAGACAUCAUCGAAAAUUGCUCUCUUAUCUUGCCCCAAUCCAACCAACUUCAGCAAGCACGAUGAAUUGUCAAUGCUGUUAUUGUUAUUAUCAUUGAAAUGUAUUAGCAAUAAAAUAACUCUGAAUAGUAAUAAA
Non-coding RNA from Pantherophis guttatus, 513 nucleotides. The record is from RefSeq and is a predicted model, not a curated record. Lineage: Eukaryota; Metazoa; Chordata; Lepidosauria; Squamata; Colubridae.